UCACCGGGCCGGCCGGCGGGCCCUCCUCUAUCUCCGGGCCGGCCGGCGGGCUCUUUGUCAGUCCCCGGGCCGGCCGGGGGGCCCUCCGUCAGACCCCGGGACGACGGGACACCGACUCCCUCUGGCCUUGGGCAGGCUCACGGCCACCUGUUCAUCUUCACGGGCUCACCCGCAGCCCUGAAAGUUGGUUGUGUUUCGUGGAAGCGCGGAGCUUUACAACCACGUGCUGCAAAGCUUUCCACGAACUUUCAGCUUUCCUGUCUCAAUAUUGCCAGGCGUGAAAAUCAAAGCAAUCCCUCACUUCUAAAUCUUUUCACAGUAAUGAAGAUGUACAGUAUAAAAUGUCCCUGCCUGCCGUGGGAUGCCGCCACCCUUGCUUGUGCCAGGCAGCCACGUCCCGGUGCCCUCCUUUGAGGGUUUGCCAACAUCGAUACCCGACUCAACCUUUGAACCGACUAGGUGACUUCCAGCAAAACUUACUAGAUUCAGCAAGAAAGAAACUCCCAUCUGCAUACCAGCUUCAGAAAUGGCAAACCUGGAAUUUCAGACUUCAGCAGAAACUCUUGGUCUACCAGAGACAGAUCCUUCAGGAAAGACAGAGCACUGAGAACCUCAGACUUUCAAGUUGUAUCUCCUGACAAUUACCAUCCUGCAUAAAGAGACUGCAAUCACAAGCUGUAUCUGCUACGUUCUUCCAAAACUUUUACCAGUGAUCUAAAGAAUAGUUUUCUUAUAACAAAUGAUGCAGUGCAACAGAACCUACACUCAAGCAGUAAGAGCAGCUCAUGUAACUCUGUGCUGAUGGUGACUUCUGAGUACUCUGGAUGCAAGCUGGAGCCAGAUGUUGGAGCCAUUUGAGAAUCCAAUCCAAAAGCUGCCAGCAGUGGAGGAACUGCAUGAGGAUCCCUCAGCAGUAAGGUGUCGUCUCCUGUGCAGGAUCAAAGUCCAGCCACCAGACACUUCUGGAAACAUUCCAGGACUCCCGAGCCCCCCAAGGGUGGUCUCGGUGACUCGGCACCUCAGUCCUGAGGUGCUGAGAUCCCACACUCACACUUCAGCCUGCUGCUCAAGAUGAAGGGGGUUGGACCUUUAAAGGCCUCCUUCAAACCAAACUAUUCUAUGGUUUGUGAUUCUAUGCUUUUGUGAUUCUAAGACUAAGACUAAUCUGUCACAGCCUAACCUAGACUGCAAAUGUCUAGUAAAUAUAAAGAAUACAGACAUCACAAUAAUUUUAAAGGAAAAUUGCACAUGCUGGAAAGGAACUAAAUAAUGAAACAGAUGAAGUACAUCAAAUUUGUUUAGGGAACAAAAUAAACAUUUCCUUGUGGCAAAGGAGGAAAAAAAUCUAGGAGAAAUGUUACUUGCAUUGUCCCCAAAUUAUCCUUCAAAAUUUUGUUAAGAUAUUCUUUCACAUUUCAGGUAUCACUUAUAACUGCAAAUUACAAUAAUUUAUUAUGACAU
Molecule: long non-coding RNA, 1461 nt
Organism: Zonotrichia leucophrys gambelii
Lineage: Eukaryota; Metazoa; Chordata; Aves; Passeriformes; Passerellidae
Exons: 7
Source: RefSeq, a predicted model, not a curated record